Molecule: long non-coding RNA, 4486 nt
Organism: Portunus trituberculatus (swimming crab)
Lineage: Eukaryota; Metazoa; Arthropoda; Malacostraca; Decapoda; Portunidae
Exons: 3
Source: RefSeq, a predicted model, not a curated record
ACAGCAUUUCUGUGCCACUUGGCGGAUUCAACCCAUCCAUCAUCGGGCCUGUCUACGCACCAUGGAUUUUCUACGCCUCAAGUUAAUUAAGUAUUACUUACUACUCCCUUAGCAUCUGUACCGACUUGAGCCAAGCGGGUGCAGUGUUUAGUGGGGCAGGAGACGAAGGCUGUGGUGAGGGAUGGAACCUGUGAAGAUUGAAGUAAAGAUAGAAAGUGAGUUGGAAGGAAGAAGUUACUCUAUUACUGAAAAGGAUGGGAGUCACAGAGGAAGAAACUGGAGGAAACUUGUACUUGGUGCAACCUGUGAAAAGAAAACGGCAAAAAAAGGGAUCUAUGAGGCACCAAGUUGACACCAUUACUUCACAACAAUUACUACAGAUAAAGUACAUUCUCCUGCUCUCUCUCACCAUGCAGUGCAGUAGUUAGCACACUUGGCUAACAACCAAGGAGGGCAAGGUUCAAGUUCUAGCCAUGGUGAGGCAAAUAGCAAGCCUCUUCAUGAGUAGUCCUGUUCACUACCACUAAACAGGUAUGAGAUGUAGGCUGAGGGAGUUGUGACAUGCAAGUGGUCUCAGUGCUACCUAAUGAUCAGUUCAUAUAAUCUUUGGGUUCUUUCCACAGGGGUUACAGCUUUCUCUCACACUAGCAACUUGGCCCCGUAUUCAGAAAGGCUCUGCUCUCACCAACUAUUUUCCAAGGCCACAGAGAUGAUUAGCCAAGUUCUCAAGAGUGUUGCUGCAGUUAAAUAAUGCAGAUAUCCUGUUAAUCUGUCACUAAAACCAUAAAAACACCCUCAAGAGCCAAAGCAACUACAACUAGAGGCUUUGGAAUGUAGUGGAGGUGUAGUGAAGAGUGUUUCAGAACAGGGUUCUUUUUCCUGGUACACUCACCUCUCCUUUCUUGUUCCGUAGACACAUGAUUUGUUGAGACUGGAAUGACACCGCAAGCACAGGGCCCUCCUCCAUCACCUUACCCAUUACCAAGUCCACAUUGUCCACAUCCAGAACCUGUGGUGGGAAAUACAAGAAGUCUUCAUUAGUGCAGCAUGUGGAGUGUAGUGUACAGUGCUCAUCACAGCAUUAUGCCAGGUGAGCACCCUGGCAUGAUGUCAUGAAGAAAAACAAGGCCUACCACAUGGGGGGUGGGGUGGGGUAUAUUUCCAUCACAGCAUUAUGCUGGGUACCAGUUGUUAGCAUGACAUCACUGCCUCCCAAUACACUCCACAGUACUGCCUCAGUGCCCACUUGGCUAUCGUGGCGAGAGGAAGUGUUGUACCCACUUGGCUGUCGUGGCGAGAGGAAGUGUUGUUGUACUGAUGUUCUCUCAUUCACACCAUCUUUCAUCUGUUUCCCAGGCUAUACCUUGGUGACUGAUCCAAAGAAAGUCAUUAAUACCUGUAACUAUAGCUCAGAUCAUAGGGCUUCACAAAGCUAGGGCUCCAGACAAGAGAAAUAGCGGCAAAUGUUGAUGUGAGUCAACAAUCUGUAAGAAACUGGGUAAAGCAUUUCAAGGUCAACAAUGUUGUACAGUUACCAUCUGCUAAACCUCGGCUUGGCCCGCAUUAGAAAGCAAGCAUGAGUUUUUUUUUCUUUCAAUUCUCUGGCAGUUACAGUGGGUGUACACUCUAGCUGCCUUUUGAGCACCGUUAAAGUACAUACAGAUAUCUUCUUUCGGGGACUAGGCUGAGUGAGGUUUAGCAGACACUAACUCUACACCAUCAUCAUCCUUGAAACACUUCACCCAGUUUCUCUUCACACCAAUAGUCGCCAUUAUUUCUUGUCUGGAACCCAGCUUUGUGAAGCCCUAUGAUUUGAGCCAUAGCAACAGGCAUCAACAACUUGCUUUUAUCCAUAGUCACCAAUGUACAGCCCAGAAACCAAAGCAAACAGAUAAAAGAUGGCACAAAUGAGAGAACAAUGGCGCAACACUUCCUCUCACCACGAUAGCUACACGGACACUGAGGCCAGUACUGUGGUGUGUGUUGGGAGGCAGUGAUGUCAUGCUAGUGGCUGGUACCCAGCAUAAUGCCAUGAUAGAAAAAGACCUUCCCCCUGUAUGGAAGACCAUUGUUUUUCAUCAUGGCAUUAUGUCGUGGCACUCACCCACCAUAAUGCCGUGACAAGCUCUAGAGUGUCUUAAUGUGUUGGCUCUAUGGCAAUGUAGAGGGGUGGUGGUGGUGUGGUUGAUAUAGGAAUACAGUGUGGUAGCUCAUCGUAAUGGAUACUGGGGAUGAAAAGGGUUUUCAUUACUGCGACAUCCAUUACAGAGAUUUGCCAGUAAAACCCUUAACUGCCCCCCUUUUCCCUUUUUUCAGUAAUUUAACUAUUUAAAGAUAUUUUGAGCUUUUAAAUCACUUCACUAUUGUACAGUAAUAAAAAUCUUAAAUGCAAAAAUAAUCAGAAAAAUUAUUAGUUUAUAUACACUUGCAAGAACUAACCUGGUACACGGACAAAUGCAAACUGACCGGCCAUUUAGAUGCCGUCCUGGGCUUCACCGGGAUCCUUCCCACUAUUGCCACCUCUCUAUAGAUUAGACAGGCUUGCCUUCUUUCUCUCACCACGCUUCACCUCGUUACCACCUCCUUUAUAUACACACACACACACACACACACACACUCUUUCUGUUUCUAUAUAAAUUUGUUUCUUAAAUUAUUUUUUAAAUCACUUAACUUUUGUUCCACAUUACUGUUGAGGUAAAAAUUCAGGUGUUUUCUGUAGCAAUGUCUGAUCCCAUUCUAAACUUAGCAUAUGAGCAGGGGGAUUGCAACCUUGCCAAUACUCCACCUGACCUGCCAUUACACACACAGUCUUACUAUAGACUAUUUCUCCUGCUGCAAACUUGCCAUAUGGCCACCUUCACAACCAAUCAAUCUAAGGCAGUAUUUUACAAUGUGAACUUGGGAGAGGGAGGGGGGAGUAUGGGAUUUGAGAAACAGGACACGGCAGCAGAACAGCAGAACAUAAGUGUUAUUUCUUCUUUAUUCCCUUUAUUUUUUUUGUGAAUUUUUUUACUUGAUAAAAAAAAAAACAUGUCAUAUGUAAGACACAUGGAACCCUGGAAAAAAUUUACUAUUUCUCCUCUUUUCUCAAUACGGUCGAAAUAAUUUGGCCAGUAUCUGACCAGUCUCUUAUUCAGCAAAAUUUGUUACUACGACGUCUGUUUUGGCAAGGUACCACUGUAACAGUAUAGUAAUAGUAUUACAGUGUUAAACUACCAUAAUGGACUUCACAGUAACAUUUUGUUGAAUAACAGACUGGUCGGAUACUGGCCACAUUAUUUUAACUGUAAUAACAAAAGAGGAGAAAUUAUAAAUUUUUUUCAGGAUUUCACAGUUCCAUGUGACCAUGACACGAUAAACAAGCCGAAAGACUCACAAAAAUAAAAAGUGAAGUGAGUAGAGAGGAGAAAAAAGAAAUUAUGCACCACUUAUUGCCACCACAGUAAGUGGGACAGUGGCAGAGAGUAAGCAAUGUCAACAACAAAACUGCUUGUCAAACCCUGCACUCCCUCUCCCUUCUCUAUCUCAAGAACGUCCUCAAAGAAAUACUUGUUCAUGUUGUAGAUUAACUACCUUAGAUUGGCUGUGAAGGUGGCCAUAUGGCAAGUUCGCAGCAGCAGAAUGGUCCAUAGCAAGACUGCCCGUGACGGCAGGUUAGGACUGACUGGUGAGUCAGGUCAUGUUGUACUCCCCCACUCAUAUCACACUUAAGAUGGGGUGAGACAUUUUUACAGAAAAUGUGCCUUAAUUUUUUACCUCACUGGUGAUGUGGAACAACACAAGUUAGAACAAUUUUGGAAAUAAUUUCAGAAACAUCAAUUUAUAAAGUAACAGGGAAGAGAAAAAUUAAGUAAGGUGAUGAUUUGUCGUUAGAGAAAGAAGGUAAGGCCAUGAUCCAUAGAGAGGUGGCCAUAGUAGGAGAAUCCUGAUGAAUGAAGCUCAGGGCCACACCUAAAUGGCCAGUUUGCAUUUGUCUCAAGUUGGUUGUUCUUGCAUUUGUACAUAGUGAUAAUUUUUUCUUGAUUAUUUUUGUGCUUAAAAGAUUUUUAUUACUGUAAAAUAUUAAGGGGACUUACAAAAAUAUAAGGGAAAAGAGGGCAGGCAGGCAAUUAAGGGUCUUACAGACGGAUCAGAGUCUGUUAUAGCAAGUCCAUUAUGGUGAGGUACCACUGUAGUCAAUUUUUAUCAUUCAAACAUUUCUCUCUCCCUCUCACCUUGGAAUCAAAUUUAAGGCCAAGUUCGUAGGCUUGCUUGACAGGGGUGGCCAGGAGGGAAUAGGCUCUCUCAUAGCACCAGUCUUGUAAAAUCUGUAGGAAAAACACCAUUACACAAUUCAGAUGAUGUAUAACAAUAAAAACAUUUUACAUCACCCUCUCAUGUACACAAACUCAUCAUUUCAAUGUGUUUAUCAAUAAUACAUCAGCUGUAAGUUUUCCUGCCCAGCCUAACUUAAUGUAGUACAUAGUAAUACAAAAUGUUUAGUCAA